This 499-nucleotide ribosomal RNA is filed under the name uncultured Glomeromycotina. Its description in RNAcentral is "partial small subunit ribosomal RNA". It matches the Rfam family "Eukaryotic small subunit ribosomal RNA", at positions 591 to 1092 of the family's 1831-position model. The record is from RNAcentral. Lineage: Eukaryota; Fungi; Glomeromycota.
CCAAUAGCGUAUAUUAAAGUUGUUGCAGUUAAAAAGCUCGUAGUUGAAUUUCGGGAUCAAUUGAUUGGUCAUGCCUUGGUAUGUACUGGUCAUAUUGGUUCUCACCUUCUAAUGAACCAUAAUGUCAUUUAUUUGAUGUUAUGGGGAAUUAGGACUGUUACCUUGAAAAAAUUAGAGUGUUUAAAGCAGGCUUACGCUUGAAUACAUUAGCAUGGAAUAAUGAAAUAGGACAUCGCAUUCUAUUUUGUUGGUUUCUAGGAUCGAUGUAAUGAUUAAUAGGGAUAGUUGGGGGCAUUAGUAUUCAAUUGUCAGAGGUGAAAUUCUUGGAUUUAUUGAAGACUAACUACUGCGAAAGCAUUUGCCAAGGAUGUUUUCAUUAAUCAAGAACGAAAGUUAGGGGAUCGAAGACGAUCAGAUACCGUCGUAGUCUUAACCAUAAACUAUGCCGACUAGGGAUCGGAUGAUGUUGAUUUUUAAAUGACUCAUUCGGCACCUUACG